AGAAUUAUAUAAUUCAUGAUUCUUUCAAUGAUAUCAGCUGAUCGAGAAUAGAUUGUUCAUGAUCCACUAGUUUAUUUUAGCUAACUGAUCAAAAUUCUCAUCCUUACAGGUACUCGAUAAGAAUGGGGCUGCUCCAGCUAGAAGUGUUUUGGUGUGGAUUCUAAUAUAAAUUUGAAAGUAUGCUUAGUAGUAGCUGUGGUUGAUAAUCUGGCCAUUUUUUUUACUUCUAAUGAAGGUUAGAAUAUCGAUUAAUUGUCGUCGAAGCUGAGGUGUACGUUCGGUAGCGUGGAUGUCGAAGGGUACUCUUAGUUUUAAGUCUUCCGCUGUGUAGUGAGUUGUGGUGGAUGUGUUUACUUAUUGAAUUGUCAUUCAGUUUAAUUUGUAAACUAUCUGUAAUGUAAUAUGUGACUCUAAAGAACGAGUCGGUAUUGACAUUGUGAGCUCAGUUGUUUAGUUGCUUAAUUUAAAUGAAAAAUUUUCUAUGUG
Rosa rugosa (rugosa rose) is the source of this 486-nucleotide long non-coding RNA. RefSeq lists it as uncharacterized. The transcript has 2 exons. NCBI's taxonomy places the organism in Eukaryota, Viridiplantae, Streptophyta, Magnoliopsida, Rosales, Rosaceae. The record is from RefSeq and is a predicted model, not a curated record.